RNAcentral lists this ribosomal RNA (497 nucleotides) under uncultured bacterium. Its description in RNAcentral is "partial 16S ribosomal RNA". It matches the Rfam family "Bacterial small subunit ribosomal RNA", at positions 28 to 507 of the family's 1533-position model. The record is from RNAcentral.
GAUGAACGCUGGCGGCGUGCCUAAUACAUGCAAGUCGAGCGAACAGACGAGGAGCUUGCUCCUCUGACGUUAGCGGCGGACGGGUGAGUAACACGUGGAUAACCUACCUAUAAGACUGGGAUAACUUCGGGAAACCGGAGCUAAUACCGGAUAAUAUAUUGAACCGCAUGGUUCAAUAGUGAAAGACGGUUUUGCUGUCACUUAUAGAUGGAUCCGCGCCGCAUUAGCUAGUUGGUAAGGUAACGGCCUACCAAGGCAACGAUGCGUAGCCGACCUGAGAGGGUGAUCGGCCACACUGGAACUGAGACACGGUCCAGACUCCUACGGGAGGCAGCAGUAGGGAAUCUUCCGCAAUGGGCGAAAGCCUGACGGAGCAACGCCGCGUGAGUGAUGAAGGUCUUCGGAUCGUAAAACUCUGUUAUUAGGGAAGAACAAAUGUGUAAGUAACUAUGCCCGUCUUGACGGUACCUAAUCAGAAAGCCACGGCUAACUACGUG